UUGCAGCCGCCUUCUCUUUUUUUUUCUGUCGCUGCUCCUCAACAACAUCGCAGAAAAACAACCAACCAACCGAGCAUCAAAGCCUCUUCCCACCCCACCCCCUCUCUCCCCUUCCUUUCCCCACUUCGCGGUUUGUUUGCCUGAACUCUCAGCCUGUUCAGUGUUACUCCGUAGUCUUGGCGUUUUCCCUUUCCACCUCCGCCCCACCCUGGGUUUUCCUUUUUGUGCAUAUUUGCGUUAGUUAACCACUGAAGUCAGUACACAGCUGUCCCCAUCCCCAUCCCUUUUUUUUUUCUUCCUACUACACAAUAAGCUCUGGCCUGCACGCCGUCACUGCGGCGUCUACACACACUGCAUUCUCAUCAGCAUUCUCCCUGUGAAACUGUUCCUCCCGUUCUCUAUCAUUGUUUAUUGCCUUUCUCCACCCACCACCAAACAGCAACAAUGCCGCUCUGCGCCAGCAUCCCCGCGACGGUCGACACCGACACGAACACCCGCGCUCUCUACCUGGAUGAUUUGGACAAGUGCAUGAAGAACUUCAACAGUGCCCUCGCGUCCACCAUGAACGCGUACCAAAACCUCCUCACCGCGUUUGAUCAGGUGGCGCAGGUGUACGGCAACGUCGCCCAGGAGUGCGGGGAUGAGGUGCGCAAGCCGGUUGGCGAAUUCCGCGACGGGAUGCGCGAUCUCAAGGACAAAGGUGGCUUCGAGACGUUCAACCACGAGAUCCACGUGGGCACGAUUGCUGUAAUGGAGCCGGUGAAAUUGGACCUGAAGAAGGCGCUCAAGUCGCUCAAGUUCCUGAGGCUGAAGCAGAAGGAGUACGACACCGUUCGCUACGAGCUGGAGCAGACCGAGAAGUCGUACGCGAAGAAGAACAAGCCCUUGGUAGCGAGCAACAGCUACAAGAAGACGCUCGCAAAGCGAGAUAAGGUGAAGGCGUCGUACGAUGCGAGUCGCGAGGCCUUUGGCGACGAGAUGAACGCACUGCAGGCUACGACCAAGUCCGUUCUGCUCCAGUCCCUCAACAACUACCUCCACUGCACGGCCGCUUUUUGUGGACAACUGGAGGCAACCAUGGACGGCUACCGCACCGACGUGGACCACCAUGGCAGCACCACGUUUGCAAACGACCAAAUGGACAAGCUGAAGGAGAAAGCCGAAGCCGAGUCGAUGGCGCGGCGCGCGCAGCGCAAGAACGAGGCGUCGAACCCGUUCCAGACUGGAAACGAUGUCACAUCGAACAACAGCCACCGCAACUUGCCUUCGGUUGAUGAUGGCCUCUACCAAAAGAAGGAUUCGCUGGUGGACACUGAGAGCGCCAACCGCUACCCCAACGCUGAACUUGCGCCGCCGAUGCAGAACGGCGGUGACGACUUCACGCUGAGGGAGCAGUAUGAGAACGAGGCGCCCGGCGAUGCCGAUGCCGUGAACCCGCUCGUUGACGCAAACGACGACGAGUGAGUGACGAAACGACAAACGUGUGCGACCUCUAAUACACAACUCGGCCCCUCCUCAGCGGCACUCCCCUCCUCUCCCCUCCCCUCCCCCUUUCGGUGUGUUCCUUCUCUAGUAGAUUGCUUGCUUGUCCGUCUGCAGUCUCCUACACAGGUCUUUGCACAUACGCGCAAACGCCGCCGGGACCUGCGGUGCAGGCUGAGCGAGUGUAUGUGCAUGUAUAUAUGUGUGUGCGUGCGUGCGUUUCCUUCAACGGGCAGCGCACUGCCGUCCUCGUGGAAAUUGCUUGCAUUUGCAGGUAAAAGCAUGCAUAUGGAUUAUUCAAGCCUGUUUACGUUGUCACGUGUGUUUCCACCUUUCCUCACCACCCCCGAUGAGCUCGGUUCGUUCCGUUUGUUUUUCGCGCCUACGCACUCCCCCUCCGCCACACGCACACACACACUCGUUUUUUUUUUCGCUCUUUCGUCCUUCUCUUUGUCACCUACGAUCCUUUUUUUUCUGUUUGUUUGUUUCGCAGAGCGAACGCGUCACUAGGGUUCGCCAUCCGUUGUUUUCAUAGUGGAGGGGAGAAGGAUGGAAGGUUGCUUCCGUUACCAGGGAGGUUGGGAGGAGGGCAACGAAGCGUCUUGGUGCGGGAGACCCGCCAGACCCUGAGAACGCGCGCCCUCUGUCGCCGCGUGUCUUCCUCGCCCCCCCCCCCUUUUUUUUCUUUUUGGCCCUUAUUGUUUUCGAGUGAACUGCCUCUCUCAUUUUUCUGUUGUCGUUUCGCAUGUAUGUAGCCCACCUCCACGAAGGCCUUGAAGAAGCACACAAGAAGAAACAAAAAAAGAAAAAAGGAAAGCAAUGAAAGCGAAGAGCACGAACAUCUGCUGCCGCUGCUGCUGUUGUUGUCGUGUGUGUGUGUGUGUGUGUGUGUGUGUGUGCCUGCUGACUUCAUCUGGCGGUAUUGCUGUUGUGACUGACAUGGCGCGCUGCACCACGAGCGGCGCGUGGGAGACCGACAUCAUCACCGAUGGCGCACGUCAACGCACACGCUUCUCUUCCCACCGCCACAGGCACACAUACACACUACAGUGAAGUACCAGUCUUUUUUUUCUCUCGUGUCACUUACAUCAUUCAUCCUGAUCAUGCGGGUCGCCGUGAAGGAUGGGCGGCCGACGACGACAAGCAUUGGCGUACAAGUGCAGCCGGGCAAGCGAGAAGAGAACGCUACUAGAGAAGCGUGCACGCCUGGCCUUUGUCACCUCCAUGCGAUGCGCUGUCACGCUCGGCGUUAUCAUGUAUUUACAAAUGUUGUUGUUGCUGUUGUUGUCGCCUCUGUUCUCUCGUUUUUUUUUUUCGUUUUCGUACAUAACUUCUCCCCAGCACCACCAUCACCACCCCCUGGUCUUUCUGUUCUACUUACGUAUAUGCAUACAGACUC
Molecule: unclassified non-coding RNA, 2881 nt
Filed under: Leishmania donovani
Lineage: Eukaryota; Euglenozoa; Kinetoplastea; Trypanosomatida; Trypanosomatidae
Description: gene:LdHU3.27.2500(CDS-product:hypothetical_prote in_conserved)
Source: RNAcentral